Molecule: long non-coding RNA, 236 nt
Filed under: Nicotiana benthamiana
Lineage: Eukaryota; Viridiplantae; Streptophyta; Magnoliopsida; Solanales; Solanaceae
Description: long non-coding RNA (NBEN_LNC021444)
Source: RNAcentral
UUAACUCAUAUUCAACCCGCUCAUUUGACACUCAAUCCAUUUUUGACUCGCAUAAAAUAUGGACGGCUUAAGACCCGACCCGUUUUUGCUUAACCCAAUUUCGUCCCGCCCAAAUCCGAUCCAAACCCCCAUUUGCCACCACUAAUCAAGACUAUUGACUUUCACUUACAAAUAAUGACCUUGAAUUCGGAAUUCCCCAUCUCCUCAAUUUGUGUUUCAUUAAUUUUGAGGGCAGC